RNAcentral lists this ribosomal RNA (492 nucleotides) under uncultured bacterium. RNAcentral's name for it is "partial 16S ribosomal RNA". It matches the Rfam family "Bacterial small subunit ribosomal RNA", at positions 29 to 507 of the family's 1533-position model. The record is from RNAcentral.
AGUGAACGCUGGCGGUAGGCCUAACACAUGCAAGUCGAACGGCAGCACAGUAAGAGCUUGCUCUUACGGGUGGCGAGUGGCGGACGGGUGAGGAAUACAUCGGAAUCUACUUUUUCGUGGGGGAUAACGUAGGGAAACUUACGCUGAUACCGCAUACGACCUACGGGUGAAAGCAGUGGAUCUUCGGACCUUUCGCGAUUGAAUGAGCCGAUGUCGGAUUAGCUAGUUGGCGGGGUAAAGGCCCACCAAGGCGACGAUCCGUAGCUGGUCUGAGAGGAUGAUCAGCCACACUGGAACUGAGACACGGUCCAGACUCCUACGGGAGGCAGCAGUGGGGAAUAUUGGACAAUGGGCGCAAGCCUGACCCAGCAAUACCGCGUGGGUGAAGAAGGCCUUCGGGUUGUAAAGCCCUUUUGUUGGGAAAGAAAAGCAGCAGGUUAAUACACCGAUGUUCUGACGGUACCCAAAGAAUAAGCACCGGCUAACUUCGUG